This 277-nucleotide ribosomal RNA is filed under the name uncultured prokaryote. RNAcentral describes it as "partial 16S ribosomal RNA". It matches the Rfam family "Bacterial small subunit ribosomal RNA", at positions 524 to 801 of the family's 1533-position model. The record is from RNAcentral.
UACGUAGGGUGCGAGCGUUGUCCGGAAUUACUGGGCGUAAAGGGUGCGUAGGCGGUCUUUCAAGCCAGAAGUGAAAGGCUACGGCUCAACCGUAGUAAGCUUUUGGAACUGUAAGACUUGAGUGCAGGAGAGGAGAGUGGAAUUCCUAGUGUAGCGGUGAAAUGCGUAGAUAUUAGGAGGAACACCAGUGGCGAAGGCGACUUACUGGACUGUAACUGACGCUGAGUCACGAAAGCGUGGGUAGCAAACAGGAUUAGAUACCCCGGUAGUCCCUGAG